UACCAGCACCCCGAGUGGUCGGGACGAUUAUUGGGCCUAAAGCAUCCGUAGCCGGUUCUGCAAGUCCCCCGUUAAAUCCAGCUGCUCAACAGAUGGGCCGCGGAGGAUACUACAGAGCUAGGAGGCAGGAGAGGCAAGCGGUACUCAGUGGGUAGGGGUAAAAUCCGUCGAUCCAUUGAAGACCACCAGUGGCGAAGGCGGCUUGCCAGAACGCGCUCGACGGUGAGGGAUGAAAGCUGGGGGAGCAAACCGG
RNAcentral lists this ribosomal RNA (253 nucleotides) under uncultured bacterium. Its description in RNAcentral is "partial 16S ribosomal RNA". It matches the Rfam family "Archaeal small subunit ribosomal RNA", at positions 474 to 727 of the family's 1478-position model. The record is from RNAcentral.